Hippopotamus amphibius kiboko is the source of this 207-nucleotide long non-coding RNA. RefSeq lists it as uncharacterized. The record is from RefSeq and is a predicted model, not a curated record. Lineage: Eukaryota; Metazoa; Chordata; Mammalia; Artiodactyla; Hippopotamidae. The transcript has 4 exons.
GUGAGCCAAGUGGAAAGAGUCCCCCAGGCAGCGGGAAUGGCCAGUGCAAAGGUCCUGAGGUGAAAUGAUCCAGGCUGGCAACGUGGUGAUCCAGUUCAGAAAAUGGACUCCGGAGACAAACUGCCUAGGUUCAAUCCAGACUCUGACACUUAGUAGCUGUGUGAUCUUGGCAUCACUCACCUGGGCCCUGAAGCAUUUGAAUUUGAG